GGUGACAGCCCCGUACACAAAAAUGCACAUGCUGUGAGCUCGAUGAGUAGGGCGGGACACGUGGUAUCCUGUCUGAAUAUGGGGGGACCAUCCUCCAAGGCUAAAUACUCCUGACUGACCGAUAGUGAACCAGUACCGUGAGGGAAAGGCGAAAAGAACCCCGGCGAGGGGAGUGAAAAAGAACCUGAAACCGUGUACGUACAAGCAGUGGGAGCACGCUUAGGCGUGUGACUGCGUACCUUUUGUAUAAUGGGUCAGCGACUUAUAUUCUGUAGCAAGGUUAACCGAAUAGGGGAGCCGAAGGGAAACCGAGUCUUAACUGGGCGUUAAGUUGCAGGGUAUAGACCCGAAACCCGGUGAUCUAGCCAUGGGCAGGUUGAAGGUUGGGUAACACUAACUGGAGGACCGAACCGACUAAUGUUGAAAAAUUAGCGGAUGACUUGUGGCUGGGGGUGAAAGGCCAAUCAAACCGGGAGAUAGCUGGUUCUCCCCGAAAGCUAUUUAGGUAGCGCCUCGUGAAUUCAUCUCCGGGGGUAGAGCACUGUUUCGGCAAGGGGGUCAUCCCGACUUACCAACCCGAUGCAAACUGCGAAUACCGGAGAAUGUUAUCACGGGAGACACACGGCGGGUGCUAACGUCCGUCGUGAAGAGGGAAACAACCCAGACCGCCAGCUAAGGUCCCAAAGUCAUGGUUAAGUGGGAAACGAUGUGGGAAGGCCCAGACAGCCAGGAUGUUGGCUUAGAAGCAGCCAUCAUUUAAAGAAAGCGUAAUAGCUCACUGGUCGAGUCGGCCUGCGCGGAAGAUGUAACGGGGCUAAACCAUGCACCGAAGCUGCGGCAGCGACACUGUGUGUUGUUGGGUAGGGGAGCGUUCUGUAAGCCUGCGAAGGUGUGCUGUGAGGCAUGCUGGAGGUAUCAGAAGUGCGAAUGCUGACAUAAGUAACGAUAAAGCGGGUGAAAAGCCCGCUCGCCGGAAGACCAAGGGUUCCUGUCCAACGUUAAUCGGGGCAGGGUGAGUCGACCCCUAAGGCGAGGCCGAAAGGCGUAGUCGAUGGGAAACAGGUUAAUAUUCCUGUACUUGGUGUUACUGCGAAGGGGGGACGGAGAAGGCUAUGUUGGCCGGGCGACGGUUGUCCCGGUUUAAGCGUGUAGGCUGGUUUUCCAGGCAAAUCCGGAAAAUCAAGGCUGAGGCGUGAUGACGAGGCACUACGGUGCUGAAGCAACAAAUGCCCUGCUUCCAGGAAAAGCCUCUAAGCAUCAGGUAACAUCAAAUCGUACCCCAAACCGACACAGGUGGUCAGGUAGAGAAUACCAAGGCGCUUGAGAGAACUCGGGUGAAGGAACUAGGCAAAAUGGUGCCGUAACUUCGGGAGAAGGCACGCUGAUACGUAGGUGAAGUCCCUCGCGGAUGGAGCUGAAAUCAGUCGAAGAUACCAGCUGGCUGCAACUGUUUAUUAAAAACACAGCACUGUGCAAACACGAAAGUGGACGUAUACGGUGUGACGCCUGCCCGGUGCCGGAAGGUUAAUUGAUGGGGUCAGCGCAAGCGAAGCUCUUGAUCGAAGCCCCGGUAAACGGCGGCCGUAACUAUAACGGUCCUAAGGUAGCGAAAUUCCUUGUCGGGUAAGUUCCGACCUGCACGAAUGGCGUAAUGAUGGCCAGGCUGUCUCCACCCGAGACUCAGUGAAAUUGAACUCGCUGUGAAGAUGCAGUGUACCCGCGGCAAGACGGAAAGACCCCGUGAACCUUUACUAUAGCUUGACACUGAACAUUGAGCCUUGAUGUGUAGGAUAGGUGGGAGGCUUUGAAGUGUGGACGCCAGUCUGCAUGGAGCCGACCUUGAAAUACCACCCUUUAAUGUUUGAUGUUCUAACGUUGACCCGUAAUCCGGGUUGCGGACAGUGUCUGGUGGGUAGUUUGACUGGGGCGGUCUCCUCCUAAAGAGUAACGGAGGAGCACGAAGGUUGGCUAAUCCUGGUCGGACAUCAGGAGGUUAGUGCAAUGGCAUAAGCCAGCUUGACUGCGAGCGUGACGGCGCGAGCAGGUGCGAAAGCAGGUCAUAGUGAUCCGGUGGUUCUGAAUGGAAGGGCCAUCGCUCAACGGAUAAAAGGUACUCCGGGGAUAACAGGCUGAUACCGCCCAAGAGUUCAUAUCGACGGCGGUGUUUGGCACCUCGAUGUCGGCUCAUCACAUCCUGGGGCUGAAGUAGGUCCCAAGGGUAUGGCUGUUCGCCAUUUAAAGUGGUACGCGAGCUGGGUUUAGAACGUCGUGAGACAGUUCGGUCCCUA
Molecule: ribosomal RNA, 2288 nt
Filed under: Escherichia coli
Lineage: Bacteria; Pseudomonadati; Pseudomonadota; Gammaproteobacteria; Enterobacterales; Enterobacteriaceae
Description: partial 23S ribosomal RNA
Rfam family: Bacterial large subunit ribosomal RNA
Source: RNAcentral